AUUGAACGCUGGCGGCAGGCCUAACACAUGCAAGUCGAGCGGAUGAAGGGAGCUUGCUCCCGGAUUCAGCGGCGGACGGGUGAGUAAUGCCUAGGAAUCUGCCUGGUAGUGGGGGAUAACGUCCGGAAACGGGCGCUAAUACCGCAUACGUCCUGAGGGAGAAAGUGGGGGAUCUUCGGACCUCACGCUAUCAGAUGAGCCUAGGUCGGAUUAGCUAGUUGGUGGGGUAAAGGCCUACCAAGGCGACGAUCCGUAACUGGUCUGAGAGGAUGAUCAGUCACACUGGAACUGAGACACGGUCCGGACUCCUACGGGAGGCAGCAGUGGGGAAUAUUGGACAAUGGGCGAAAGCCUGAUCCAGCCAUGCCGCGUGUGUGAAGAAGGUCUUCGGAUUGUAAAGCACUUUAAGUUGGGAGGAAGGGCAGUAAGUUAAUACCUUGCUGUUUUGACGUUACCAACAGAAUAAGCACCGGCUAACUUCGUG
RNAcentral lists this ribosomal RNA (484 nucleotides) under uncultured bacterium. RNAcentral's name for it is "partial 16S ribosomal RNA". It matches the Rfam family "Bacterial small subunit ribosomal RNA", at positions 30 to 507 of the family's 1533-position model. The record is from RNAcentral.